UGCUUUCCCCUCUCUACGUUAAGAAAAGGGCGAGCGGCGGGCGACCUCGUGUCCAGCGUCGAUCUCGUCAGCUUUCCCUCGCCUCCGGUGGCCGGUUUGGCACCGGAGGGGAUGGGGAGCUGCGAGAUCGUCGGCCGGUGUACACACCCUCUCCUUCUAGCUUAGGAUUAGGUAGGUUAGGGUUAGCUUUGCUCCCGGCGGCGAUGUCGAGCGAGCCAAUAAUCUGCCUCCUUGUUCUUGUCUCCGCUGGAGGUUGGAUGAGGACGGCUGAAAUCCCCUGUGUUCUUCCUGCUGGGGUGCUGGGUGUUCCUUCUGAGGCAGGCCCAUGGAUGAUUUUGCUUCUCCAGAGCUUCUCCUGCGACGGCGACGGCGAAGCAGCUGCGCGUCGACUUCGUUGGUGCUGCCGGUUCUUUCCUCUUCCAAGAUCUUGACGGCGUCGGCCGAUGCACGCCAGAGGGGAGAUGGUUUGCGGCUUCAAGCUGGAGGCCCCUGUCGAUGUCUUGGUUGAGUUCUCGUCCUGGGCGACGUGCUCCUUCUCCGUCUCCGGCGGAUCUAGAGGAUGUGCGAUGUCCAGGAGAUCUGCGUCAAGACCUAAGAACUUUUGUUUCAAAUUCGAAAUGUUCUAGGGUCUUGCAUGAAACUUUACAUUACUGGAGGAUGUGUGCUGAGGACUUGAUUGUAAUUUCUAGUUCCUCCAGGGUGUUGGUUGUAAGAUCCAGGCUCUUUUAAUAAACGGGAUCCAGUCCCUUCGCAAAAAA
Long non-coding RNA from Setaria italica (foxtail millet), 758 nucleotides. RefSeq lists it as uncharacterized. The record is from RefSeq and is a predicted model, not a curated record. Lineage: Eukaryota; Viridiplantae; Streptophyta; Magnoliopsida; Poales; Poaceae. The transcript has 2 exons.